UUAAAUUACCAGAUGACAACUUCAUCGUUCGGUAGAUAGUUAUGUAGUGAUUAGAGAAAUUAAGUGUAUGUUAAGUACACCACCAUAACUGGGAAGAGAGCUUUAAGCUCUCUUUUCUUUUUUAU
RNAcentral lists this non-coding RNA (125 nucleotides) under unclassified sequences. RNAcentral's name for it is "DUF3800-I RNA". It matches the Rfam family "DUF3800-I RNA". From Rfam's summary of the family: Actinobacteria, Firmicutes, Fusobacteria, Proteobacteria (1 example), Tenericutes (2 examples). Terminator (Clostridia) The record is from Rfam by way of RNAcentral.